GCAUUGGGGGCGCAACGCCCUCG
This 23-nucleotide non-coding RNA is filed under the name Arabidopsis thaliana (thale cress). Lineage: Eukaryota; Viridiplantae; Streptophyta; Magnoliopsida; Brassicales; Brassicaceae. The record is from RNAcentral.